UCUUCUUUUGCGUACCUUUUU
This is a non-coding RNA of Caenorhabditis elegans, 21 nucleotides long. NCBI's taxonomy places the organism in Eukaryota, Metazoa, Nematoda, Chromadorea, Rhabditida, Rhabditidae. The record is from Ensembl.